Molecule: unclassified non-coding RNA, 315 nt
Organism: Callithrix jacchus (white-tufted-ear marmoset)
Lineage: Eukaryota; Metazoa; Chordata; Mammalia; Primates; Cebidae
Rfam family: Metazoan signal recognition particle RNA
About the family: The signal recognition particle (SRP) is a universally conserved ribonucleoprotein.
Source: Ensembl
GCUGGGCACGGUGGCACGUGCCUGUACUCCCAGCUACUCAGGAGGCUGAGGUGGGAGGAUCGCUUGAGCCCAGUUCUGGGCUGUGGUGCGCUAUGCCGAUCAGGUGUCCGCACUAAGUUCGGCAUCAAUAUGGUGACCUCCCAGGAGCGGGUGACCUCCCGGGAGCGGGGGACCACCAGGUUGCCUAAGGAGGGGUGAACCGGCCCAGGCUGGAAACGAAGCAGGUCAAAACUCCCUUACUGAUCAGUAGUGGGAUCGCGCCUGUGAAUAGCCAAUGCCCUCCAGCCUAGGCAACAUAGCAAGACCCUGUCUCUA